Small nucleolar RNA from Sardina pilchardus (European sardine), 101 nucleotides. RefSeq annotates it as small nucleolar RNA SNORA17. The record is from RefSeq and is a predicted model, not a curated record. NCBI's taxonomy places the organism in Eukaryota, Metazoa, Chordata, Actinopteri, Clupeiformes, Clupeidae. The transcript has a single exon.
GUUGCCCCUUGAGGCGUUGCAGUCCGACCGCAUGUGGUUGAGACUGUGUCAGAAGGUGGCAUAGAGGAAAAAGCUCUAGGUCUACACUUGUCACUCAUAAU